UUCCUCCUGGGCUUUUUUUUGUGUUGUCUCAGGGCAGGUGGGUGAGCUAUCAGCUCCUGCUGAUUGCUGGGAGUGGGAAUGUACCCAGUGUUUGGGGAAAGUUGAGUCUGAGCAGGCUUUGUUACAUCUUGGGGACCUGCAGAGAUGGUGGGACCCAACCUACAAGCAAGAAUCUCCCAUGCAGGGACAUGUGCCCACCACAGGUGUCUGCUUCACGAAGCUUCAUAGGGAUAACAAGGCCUGAGACACCUGGAGAGGAUUGUUCUGGGAUGGAGCAGUGGAGCUCUGGGAAUCCCAGGGCUGUACCUACCCCAAAACCUCAUCCACAAAUACCUCAUCCACGUGUUGAAGGCAGCAAGAAGGAUUGUCACACCAACGUUGUUGCUCUUUGUGGGACAGCCACAGCAUCGUAGUGACCAGAGAGCCUCCUGGAAGCCAGCAGGAGAGGGAGCAGUGGGUGUGAUGUGAAGGAGUGCUGGAGAGCAGCCCUGUCAUGCUGAGCUCUCAGGAUAUGUUUGGGUAAUCCUAAAAGACUGCUUGGAGAAGCAGAAAGACACAGGGAGAAGAAGAAAGCAGGAGGCUGGCACAGCCGGCUCUGGAAAUGAUCAGAGGCACUAGUGCCAUAUUGCACCUCUGCACAUGGCCCCGUUGGUCCAUUACAGCUCUUUGCUGGAAGGCAGCUGGCAUCCAGGUAGCUCCAUUGGAGGUGUCUGCAGUGAGCCAAGCAGCAAAAGGGCCACAAAACAUUCCCAGACCAAUUUAUUGGCACAGCAAAAGGAAUCAUCUCUUGGGCUGAUGCAGCAAAGGCACGUGAGCAUUCUGUUGCAGCCAGGUUCAGUGCAUCCCUGUCGCUUCAUGUGGACCAGGAGGGAACCUUUGGUGCUUUCAUUUAGUAGCAGGAAUUUGUCCCAGCCCACAGAAUAUGGCUUGCAUUGAGAUUUUAGAUUUUUAUUUUUAGCAUUGAUUGUGCAUGGCCCAGUGGGGAGGUCCUGCUUAAUGACAGGCUGCAUGCAUGACACAUGCAACAUGUGGUUUUGUAAAAAAUAAAGCCUGUUCCUAACUUAACGGCAAUAAAAUGAAGCUAGCUCAGUCCAGACCUGUAGGAAAUGACCUUCUGCAGUUGUUGCCCCAAGUCUGAGCUCAAAUAGCACUGUAUGCAAGGGUUAUUUUCCCCAACUCUGUGAACUGUGCUGAGAAAAGAAGGGAUAAAAUUGUGGAAAUACCAACAGGAACUCACAGGUUGUAGCUUAGAUUUAGGAUCUGUAUUUCUGUACUAAUUUCACUGAGUGGGAAUAAGAGAUGGUACCAUCCUGGAGGAGUUUGUAAGCCUCCGUCCUGCUAAUAAGAGCAGGUGUGAAGGAGCAGUGACAGCCUGUCCCCUUGGCGUGAUGAGGAAAGAAAUGGGAAUUAUUAAGUCAAGAUACUCAGUGGUGGCUUGUUGAGCAGUUUAUUUUUGUGUGCCUGAAACGUAUCAGGUGUCUCUUUUGGGACUGCUCAUUUGCACAGGGCAUGUGCUCUCUGUUGCCAAAAUGAAGGCUCAGGACCAUCCAAAAUGAACUUCCAAAUGUGAUUUCUGUGGGGAUGGAGCGAUCCAGCCCUGCACUGUGCUGGUGUGGUGGGAGCCCCAUGGCACCUUUGUGUUAGCAGGGAACCCAGGGUGCCACUGGGCUUCUGCACAGACUUAAAACAAAACCAAAGCAAUGACAACAAAGAAAAAGUGGAGAAAAAACCAAACUUUUAGCUCUGUGGCAUCUUCCUGGUGUGGGCACCGCGCAGCAGAGGAGCAAGCGACAAUUUUCUAACAGAUUGCCUGAGAAUUUGUGUGUCUGGAGGUAGGGAAGGGAAUCAGUUGGAGAAGAGAAACGUGGAGAUGACAGCUGGUUAGGGCUUUUGAAAGAGGAUCUCAGAGUCUGCCCGGUGUCCUUCGUAGGAGGCACGUGGCCAUAAACACAAAGUGAGCGGCUGGCGUAGUCCCUGCAGGGAUUCAGAUCCGCAAAACUCAGCCAAACGAGAGGGGAAAAAAAAACAAAAGGCAUUGCAAGGAAUUCAGAGGAAGCCCAGCAAAAUUUGGAAUGGAUGAAAGGUAGCAGUGCAGCAAAUCCUGCAGUGAGCAGAACAACGAAAUGGCGUUUAUGGCGAUGCA
This is a non-coding RNA of Anas platyrhynchos (mallard), 2143 nucleotides long. NCBI's taxonomy places the organism in Eukaryota, Metazoa, Chordata, Aves, Anseriformes, Anatidae. The record is from RefSeq and is a predicted model, not a curated record.